This 229-nucleotide ribosomal RNA is filed under the name uncultured bacterium. Its description in RNAcentral is "partial 16S ribosomal RNA". It matches the Rfam family "Bacterial small subunit ribosomal RNA", at positions 568 to 796 of the family's 1533-position model. The record is from RNAcentral.
UGCGUAGGCGGGCUAAUAAGUCAGUGGUGAAAUCUCUCGGCUCAACCGGGAAACUGCGAUUGAUACUGUUAGUCUUGAGUUCGGUUGAGGUAGGCGGAAUGUGUAAUGUAGCGGUGAAAUGCUUAGAUAUUACACAGAACACCAAUUGCGUAGGCAGCUUACUAGACCGAAACUGACGCUGAGGCACGAAAGCGUGGGGAGCGAACAGGAUUAGAUACCCUGGUAGUCC